Molecule: ribosomal RNA, 394 nt
Filed under: uncultured bacterium
Lineage: Bacteria
Description: partial 16S ribosomal RNA
Rfam family: Bacterial small subunit ribosomal RNA
Source: RNAcentral
AUACGUAGGGAGCGAGCGUUGUCCGGAAUUACUGGGCGUAAAGGGCGCGUAGGCGGCGCUUCAAGUCGUCUGUCAAAUGGGAGGGCUUAACCCUUUUUCGCAGACGAAACUGGAGAGCUUGAGAAGCAGAGAGGCAAACAGAAUUCCUGGUGUAGCGGUGAAAUGCGUAGAUAUCAGGAAGAAUACCAGUGGCGAAGGCGGUUUGCUGGCUGCAUACUGACGCGGUAGCGCGAAAGCCAGGGGAGCAAACGGGAUUAGAUACCCCGGUAGUCCUGGCAGUAAACGAUGUAUGCUGGGUGUGAGACUAGCGAUAGUUUCGUGCCGAAGUUAACGCGAUAAGCAUACCGCCUGGGGAGUACGGUCGCAAGAUUGAAACUCAAAUGAAUUGACGGGG